Molecule: ribosomal RNA, 373 nt
Filed under: uncultured Glomeromycotina
Lineage: Eukaryota; Fungi; Glomeromycota
Description: LSU rRNA
Source: RNAcentral
UUGAAAGGGAAACGAUUGAAGUCAGUCGUACCUGUGGGUAAUCAGCCUUUUGGGUGUGAUUUUGUGGAGUGUGAGGAGUUAAACGCCUUCAUGCCUGCAUAUUCGUGCACUUUGGGUGUAUUUACCCGUGUGGUAAGUUAACAUCAAUUUCGGUGAUCAUAAAAUGGCUGGAGGAAUGUAGCUUCGAUCUUGUAUUGAAGUGUUAUAGCCUUCGGUAGAUGUGAUGAUCGGGAUUGAGGAUUGCAACGGAUACCCCUCGGGGCUACCUGUCUGAUCUCUGAUCGUUGCUCUGGUGCCGAAAGCUUGCUUACGGUUAUCAAAGUCGAUGGUCAAUAGGUUAGAAUGGGUUAAAUUCGUUAAGGAUGUUGACGUA